Molecule: ribosomal RNA, 483 nt
Filed under: uncultured bacterium
Lineage: Bacteria
Description: partial 16S ribosomal RNA
Rfam family: Bacterial small subunit ribosomal RNA
Source: RNAcentral
GACGAACGCUGGCGGCGUGCUUAACACAUGCAAGUCGAACGCUGAAGCUCAGCUUUUGUUGGGUGGAUGAGUGGCGAACGGGUGAGUAACACGUGAGUAACCUGCCUCCUUCUUUGGGAUAACGCCCGGAAACGGGUGCUAAUACUGGAUAUUCACUGGUCUUCGCAUGGGGGCUGGUGGAAAGGGGUUUUCUGGUGGGGGAUGCGCUCGCGGCCUAUCAGCUUGUUGGUGGGGUGAUGGCCUACCACGGCUUUGACGGGUAGCCGGCCUGAGAGGGUGACCGGUCACAUUGGGACUGCGAUACGGCCCCGACUCGUACGGGAGGCAGCAGUGGGGAAUAUUGCGCAAGGGGCGCGAGCCUGAUGCAGCUGCGCCGCGUGAGGGAUGGAGGCCUUCGGGUUGUGAACCUCUUUCGCUCAUGGUCAAGCCGAAACAAUGGUUGUGGUGAGGGUAGUGGGUAAAGAAGCGCCGGCUAACUACGUG